This 209-nucleotide long non-coding RNA is filed under the name Elaeis guineensis (African oil palm). RNAcentral describes it as "long non-coding RNA (EGUI_LNC039953)". The record is from RNAcentral. Lineage: Eukaryota; Viridiplantae; Streptophyta; Magnoliopsida; Arecales; Arecaceae.
UGCUGUAAUCAAAAAGUUUUUAAAAUCUACACAUGCUGCCUACCCGAUUUUCUAACACUAGCAUGCGACACAUGGCACAUGUUUAGAGGCUUUGGUCCACGGUUGGUUUAUAUGGGAUAGUUGUACGCAAUCUAUGCAUGGUCCACAGAUUGUUUUGCACGAUCAGUGAUGUGUGGGUACGAUCGGAUGGCUGCAAACGUAUGCAGGGG